This 474-nucleotide ribosomal RNA is filed under the name uncultured bacterium. Its description in RNAcentral is "bacterial SSU rRNA". It matches the Rfam family "Bacterial small subunit ribosomal RNA", at positions 328 to 793 of the family's 1533-position model. The record is from RNAcentral.
CGCUUUCACUCCUACGGGAGGCAGCAGUGGGGAAUAUUGCACAAUGGGCGCAAGCCUGAUGCAGCCAUGCCGCGUGUAUGAAGAAGGCCUUCGGGUUGUAAAGUACUUUCAGCAGUGAGGAAGGCGGGUACGUUAAUAGCGUGCUCGUUUGACGUUUAGCUGCAGAAGAAGCACCGGCUAACUCCGUGCCAGCAGCCGCGGUAAUACGGAGGGUGCGAGCGUUAAUCGGAAUUACUGGGCGUAAAGCGCAUGCAGGUGGUUUGUUAAGUCAGAUGUGAAAGCCCGGGGCUCAACCUCGGAAUUGCAUUUGAAACUGGCAGACUAGAGUACUGUAGAGGGGGGUAGAAUUUCAGGUGUAGCGGUGAAAUGCGUAGAGAUCUGAAGGAAUACCGGUGGCGAAGGCGGCCCCCUGGACAGAUACUGACACUCAGAUGCGAAAGCGUGGGGAGCAAACAGGAUUAGAUACCCUGGUAG